This 515-nucleotide ribosomal RNA is filed under the name uncultured bacterium. RNAcentral's name for it is "bacterial SSU rRNA". It matches the Rfam family "Bacterial small subunit ribosomal RNA", at positions 791 to 1313 of the family's 1533-position model. The record is from RNAcentral.
UAGUCCAUGCCGUAAACGAUGAUUACUCGAUAUUGGCAUUUAUGUCAGUGUCCAAGCGAAAGUAUUAAGUAAUCCACCUGGGGAGUACGAUCGCAAGGUUGAAACUCAAAGGAAUUGACGGGGGCCCGCACAAGCGGUGGAGCAUGUGGUUUAAUUCGAUGAUACGCGAGGAACCUUACCAAGGCUUAAAUGCAGAACGAUAGAUUUGGAAACAGAUUUUUCUUCGGACGGUCUGCAAGGUGCUGCAUGGUUGUCGUCAGCUCGUGCCGUGAGGUGUCGGGUUAAGUCCCAUAACGAGUGCAACCCUUAUCCUUAGUUGCCAGCACGUAAUGGUGGGGACUCUAGGGAGACUGCCGGCGCAAGCCGUGAGGAAGGUGGGGACGACGUCAAAUCAUCAUGGCCUUUAUGCCUAGGGCUACACACGUGCUACAAUGGUGACUACAACGGGUUGCGAAAUUGUGAAAUGGAGCUAAUCUCAAAAAAGUCAUCCCAGUUCGGAUUGAAGUCUGAAACUC